GCAAGUCGAGCGGUAACAUUUCUAGCUUGCUAGAAGAUGACGAGCGGCGGACGGGUGAGUAAUGCUUGGGAAUAUGCCUUAGUGUGGGGGAUAACUAUUGGAAACGAUAGCUAAUACCGCAUAAUGUCUACGGACCAAAGGGGGGGAUCUUCGGACCUCCCGCUCAUAGAUUAGCCCAAGUGAGAUUAGCUAGUUGGUGAGGUAAUGGCUCACCAAGGCGACGAUCUCUAGCUGGUUUGAGAGGAUGAUC
RNAcentral lists this ribosomal RNA (250 nucleotides) under uncultured bacterium. RNAcentral's name for it is "partial 16S ribosomal RNA". It matches the Rfam family "Bacterial small subunit ribosomal RNA", at positions 57 to 305 of the family's 1533-position model. The record is from RNAcentral.